RNAcentral lists this ribosomal RNA (492 nucleotides) under uncultured bacterium. RNAcentral's name for it is "partial 16S ribosomal RNA". It matches the Rfam family "Bacterial small subunit ribosomal RNA", at positions 29 to 507 of the family's 1533-position model. The record is from RNAcentral.
AGUGAGCGCUGGCGGUAGGCCUAACACAUGCAAGUCGAACGGCAGCACAGUAAGAGCUUGCUCUUACGGGUGGCGAGUGGCGGACGGGUGAGGAAUACAUCGGAAUCUACUUUUUCGUGGGGGAUAACGUAGGGAAACUUACGCUAAUACCGCAUACGACCUACGGGUGAAAGCAGGGGAUCUUCGGACCUUGCGCGAUUGAAUGAGCCGAUGUCGGAUUAGCUAGUUGGCGGGGUAAAGGCCCACCAAGGCGACGAUCCGUAGCUGGUCUGAGAGGAUGAUCAGCCACACUGGAACUGAGACACGGUCCAGACUCCUACGGGAGGCAGCAGUGGGGAAUAUUGGACAAUGGGCGCAAGCCUGAUCCAGCCAUACCGCGUGGGUGAAGAAGGCCUUCGGGUUGUAAAGCCCUUUUGUUGGGAAAGAAAAGCAGCAGGUUAAUACCCCGCUGCUCUGACGGUACCCAAAGAAUAAGCACCGGCUAACUUCGUG